AAGAAAUUAAUUAAUAUUUAUAAUAUUGGUUUGUCAUAUCAAAAUAAUCUUCUUAAAGAUAUUUCUUG
RNAcentral lists this transfer RNA (68 nucleotides) under Trapezia cymodoce. RNAcentral describes it as "tRNA-Asp". The record is from RNAcentral. Lineage: Eukaryota; Metazoa; Arthropoda; Malacostraca; Decapoda; Trapeziidae.